RNAcentral lists this small RNA (122 nucleotides) under Escherichia coli. RNAcentral's name for it is "RtT sRNA". It matches the Rfam family "RtT RNA". Rfam says of the family: This family represents a bacterial cis-regulatory element known as RtT RNA. The exact function of RtT is unknown although it is thought that it may be involved in changing the cellular response in relation to amino acid starvation. The record is from RNAcentral. Lineage: Bacteria; Pseudomonadati; Pseudomonadota; Gammaproteobacteria; Enterobacterales; Enterobacteriaceae.
UUUGCAUUUGAAGCCCAUGAGGAUGAGAACCUCCGGGGGCAGGGAGGUUCGACUCCAGCAAAGCGAGAGAACGUUGUGGCAGCAACGGCCCGCAGUGGCGAGUAAUCCUCUGGCACCGACCA